Molecule: long non-coding RNA, 283 nt
Filed under: Physcomitrium patens
Lineage: Eukaryota; Viridiplantae; Streptophyta; Bryopsida; Funariales; Funariaceae
Description: long non-coding RNA (PPAT_LNC007532)
Source: RNAcentral
UUUUGUAAACGUUAGAUUCUUGGUUUUGUAAUCCACCAUUGGUUUAAAUUAGGUAGGCCUAUAUGCCCAAAAUAGGUCAAAGAGAAUCUUUAGCUAAAACAUUUACAUAAAUUCUAUUUUUUCAAUCAUAUUGUGUGAAAAUAUUUGGAAUCCUCUAAAUUUCUAUUUUCUUACAUGGAGGUAUUUUUUUUCCAUUUUUACACCUAUAAGAUAUAUGUUGAAAUGCUUUAGUUAUUGGAAAUAGGUUGUCUACCUUACAUGUGCAUGUCUUUAUGGCUUUUUG